AGAGAUGCAUUGGGCCGUAAAGCGUGCGCAGGCGGUUUUGUAAGACAGAGGUGAAAUCCCCGGGCUCAACCUGGGAACUGCCUUUGUGACUGCAAGGCUGGAGUGCGGCGGAGGGGGAUGGAAUUCCGCGUGUAGCAGUGAAAUGCGUAGAUAUGCGGAGGAACACCGAUGGCGAAGGCAAUCCCCUGGGCCUGCACUGACGCUCAUGCACGAAAGCGUGGGGAGCAAACA
This 231-nucleotide ribosomal RNA is filed under the name uncultured Alicycliphilus sp. RNAcentral describes it as "partial 16S ribosomal RNA". It matches the Rfam family "Bacterial small subunit ribosomal RNA", at positions 548 to 774 of the family's 1533-position model. The record is from RNAcentral. Lineage: Bacteria; Pseudomonadati; Pseudomonadota; Betaproteobacteria; Burkholderiales; Comamonadaceae.